GAUGAAGAACGUAGCGAAAUGCGAUACUUGGUGUGAAUUGCAGAAUCCCGUGAACCAUCGAGUCUUUGAACGCAAGUUGCGCCCGAAGCCAUUAGGCCGAGGGCACGCCUGCCUGGGCGUCACACGUCGUUGCCCCCCCAUCUACUCCUUCGGGAUUGCGGGGGGCGGAUGAUGGCCUCCCGUGCGCCUCGUCGCGCGGUUGGCCUAAAUGCCAAGUCCUCGGCGACGCACGCCACGACAAUCGGUGGUUGCGAAACCUCGGUUGCCUGUCGUGUGCGGUCGUCGCGCAUCGAGGGCUCGAAAAAAUUGCCGGGCUUCGGCUCGACUUUCAACGCGACCCCAGGUCAGGCGGGGUUACCCGCUGAAUUUAAGCAUAUCAAUAAGGGAGGA
This 390-nucleotide unclassified non-coding RNA is filed under the name soil metagenome. RNAcentral's name for it is "partial contains 5.8S ribosomal RNA, internal transcribed spacer 2, and large subunit ribosomal RNA". The stretch from base 1 to 122 matches the Rfam family "5.8S ribosomal RNA", at positions 35 to 154 of the family's 154-position model. The record is from RNAcentral.